RNAcentral lists this ribosomal RNA (101 nucleotides) under Peptostreptococcus sp. RNAcentral describes it as "partial 23S ribosomal RNA". It matches the Rfam family "Bacterial large subunit ribosomal RNA", at positions 2825 to 2925 of the family's 2925-position model. Lineage: Bacteria; Bacillati; Bacillota; Clostridia; Peptostreptococcales; Peptostreptococcaceae. The record is from RNAcentral.
UCAGUAAGAGCCCUGAGAGAUGAUCAGGUUGAUAGGUUAGAAGUGGAAGUGUGGUGACACAUGUAGCGGACUAAUACUAAUAGCUCGAGGACUUAUCCAAA